AGAGGUGGAGCCACUGAGGAAGCACA
This 26-nucleotide non-coding RNA is filed under the name Homo sapiens (human). The record is from RNAcentral. Lineage: Eukaryota; Metazoa; Chordata; Mammalia; Primates; Hominidae.